This 492-nucleotide ribosomal RNA is filed under the name uncultured bacterium. Its description in RNAcentral is "partial 16S ribosomal RNA". It matches the Rfam family "Bacterial small subunit ribosomal RNA", at positions 29 to 507 of the family's 1533-position model. The record is from RNAcentral.
AGUGAACGCUGGCGGUAUGCCUAACACAUGCAAGUCGAACGGCAGCACAGUAAGAGCUUGCUCUUACGGGUGGCGAGUGGCGGACGUGUGAGGAAUACAACGUAAUCUACUUUUUCGUGGGGGAUAACGUAGGGAAACUUACUCUAAUACCGCAUACGACCUACGGGUGUAAGCAUUGGAUCUUCUGACCUUGCGCGAUUGAAUGAGCCGAUGUCGGAUUAGCUAGUUGGCGGGGUAAAGGCCCACCAAGGCGACGAUCCGUAGCUGGUCUGAGAGGAUGAUAGGCGACACUGGAACUGAGACACGGUCCAGACUCCUACGGGAGGCAGCAGUGGGGAAUAUUGGACAAUGGGCGCAAGCCUGAUACAGCCAUACCGAGUGGGUGAAGAAGGCCUUCGGGUUGUAAAGCCCUUUUGUGGGGAAAGAAAAGCAGCAGGUUAAUACGAAGCUGUUCUGACGGUACCGAAAGAAUAAGCACCGGCUAACUACGUG